UACGGAGGAUGCAAGCGUUAUCCGGAAUUAUUGGGCGUAAAGCGUCCGUAGGUGGUUGUUCAAGUCUGCUGUUAAAGCGUGCGGCUUAACCGCAUAUCAGCAGUGGAAACUGGACGACUAGAGUGCGGUAGGGGUCAGGGGAAUUCCCAGUGUAGCGGUGAAAUGCGUAGAUAUUGGGAAGAACACCGGUGGCGAAAGCGCCUGACUGGACCUGCACUGACACUGAGGGACGAAAGCUAGGGGAGCGAAAGGG
RNAcentral lists this ribosomal RNA (253 nucleotides) under uncultured bacterium. Its description in RNAcentral is "partial 16S ribosomal RNA". It matches the Rfam family "Bacterial small subunit ribosomal RNA", at positions 524 to 776 of the family's 1533-position model. The record is from RNAcentral.